RNAcentral lists this ribosomal RNA (279 nucleotides) under uncultured bacterium. RNAcentral describes it as "partial 16S ribosomal RNA". It matches the Rfam family "Bacterial small subunit ribosomal RNA", at positions 506 to 784 of the family's 1533-position model. The record is from RNAcentral.
UGCCAGCCGCCGCGGUAAUACGGAGGGUGCAAGCGUUGUCCGGAUUUAUUGGGUUUAAAGGGUACGUAGGUGGGCUAUUAAGUCAGUGGUGAAAGCCUGCAGCUUAACUGUAGAAUUGCCAUUGAUACUGAUAGUCUUGAGUAUGGUCGAGGUAGGCAGAAUUUAUGGUGUAGCGGUGAAAUGCAUAGAUACCAUAAGGAAUACCGAUAGCGAAGGCAGCUUACUGGGCCGUUACUGACACUAAUGUACGAAAGCGUGGGGAGCGAACAGGAUUAGAUA